Long non-coding RNA from Sarcophilus harrisii (Tasmanian devil), 8788 nucleotides. RefSeq lists it as uncharacterized. The record is from RefSeq and is a predicted model, not a curated record. The transcript has 2 exons. Lineage: Eukaryota; Metazoa; Chordata; Mammalia; Dasyuromorphia; Dasyuridae.
CCAGACUUCUCUGAAGUCAUCCUGCUUUUCAUUUCUUAUAGAGCAAUAAUAUGGGACUUUUGAUUGAACCCCCUAGGUAAAGGUCUCUAGUAACCCCACCAUUAUCCAAUUAGAAAACCAAGUUAUGAUGUCAAAUUCCUGAGGGUAUAUUUCCCCUAUAAAAGAUCUGCUCAUUCAUAAGAUCCUUCCUCAUCUCUUUUCAAGAUUAGCCCUCUUGCUAAGUUGCCACAUAGCAAACUCCUUUUUAGAGCUAGCCCCACCAGCCAGGGGUAUAGUUCUGUCUCAUGGCACCAUUCUUCUUGUUAUAGCUAAUUCUUUGGGGACUUAGCUAACUUUUCUGGGAAUGUAGCUCGCUUUUAACAUUGUUAAAAAAAAAAGUGCCCCUUGAUUUGGAGGAUGUCUAAGCCUACAAAUUCUUUUGAAGCAACUCUCAACACCAAUCCAUAACUUUAUACAUUUGGGGUUCCAUACCUAUAACCUCAAUAUUUUGGUGGCCCUGUGGGGAGAGUUUGACUUGACUUCCUCCAUUUCAAGGUAAGUCCUUUUUCUUUUCCUUCAUUUUCUUUUUAUUCUUCCAUUGCUAGGACCAGUUGAGUCAUUAGUGAGCUUCUGUGCUCUAUGCUCAAGCAUAAUUCCUUUGACUGGGGAUGCCUGGUCUUGGGAACACUUGUGAUUUGGGGCAUGCUUCCCUUUGGAAACAUUUGUCACUUUCACCUCUCUAGGCUGAUUUUUUCCUAGGGUAGACAAAUUGCUAUAGGAGUAGAAAAUAGCAACUUUUCUCUGUGGCUUGUGGCAAAAAUGGGAGGGGCAAUCUCUGUUCCUAAAGAUUCAUCCUUAUGCUGUCUCUUAAAAGAUAGAGACAAAUUUGGCCAAAAAAUUCACAAAAAGAAGAGGCUUAUUUUCUGUAAUCAAGCCUGGUCCAAUAUAACUAGGAGGAUCAAGAAAAUGGCCUGUCAAUGGGUCUUAAAAUUAUAAUAUUAUUUUGCAGCUUGAUGUGUUUUGCUACUUAGAGGACAAAUGGACUGAAGUUCCAUAUGUCCUGGCUUUCAUGACUUUAUCUCAGGAUGCUAAUUUAAGACAACUGUGUAGAAUGUUACUAGCUAAAUUUGGAGGAGGAGAAUUGAAAGUGGAGUCUGAAAAGGAUUUCUUAAAUGAUUCAUCUUUUCUCUGCCUUUCUGGAGCCACAAGCUCCCUGUUCCAUUCCUUUGUGUGCCCUUUCCUAGGAGGCUCAGAAAUGCCUCCCAAGACCAUCUCCCCAUUGGAUUCCGGACUCUCUGUCCAACAAGAUUUCCCCAAUUCCCUUUCCUCAAAUACUUACAACCCGAGCAAGCUUUUACAACUUCCCAAACCCUACUCCUCAGCUUCUCCCAAACAAGAAGUGGGACCUUUUUUCCUCUCUUCUCAAGACCUUGAUUCAGACACCCUUCCUAAAAAACUCUGCUCAUUAAAAGAAGUAGCAGACUCUUGGGGAUGGAACAAUCAGAGUACAUAUAUACUCUUCUCUAAUGUCAAAUCUUUUCUAAAUUAAGGAAAAACUUGGUUGUUACUUUGAAGACCACACCAAGUUUUACUGAGGGCUUUAAAGCUAUUUCCCUUCAAUUUUAUCUUCCUUGGGGAGAUGUUAAUAUCAUUGUUUCCUCCUGCUACAUAACAGAGGAGAAAAGGAGGAUCUAGGAUUUAGACCAGAAGAUUGGUGAUAAUUUAGCAGUCCUCCCUUUCAAAAUAUCCCCCAUUGACUAUUGCUGAACCAGUUGCAGACCCAGGGUGGGAUUGCCAAGAAGGAAGCAGAGAUGGAGAAAAAAAAUGGAUUACAUGGCUGGACCUGUCUCACUGGAGGUGUAAAGAAGGGAAUUAAGAAGCAGGUUAAUUAUGAGACACUUAAGGAAGUUACUGAGGAAGCUGGAGAAAAUUGUAGAGGUUCUUAAAACACACACACACACGCAAAUUUGGACCCCAUUUCUCCUGAAGGGGUCACUGUCCUUAGCAGCAUUUUAUUAGCCAGUCUACCCCAGACUUUCAAAGGAAGUACAAAAGUUAGUCAUGGAUCCCCAAAUUCCCCAGGCCCAGUUUUUGGAAACAACUUUUGGAAUCUUCAACAACAGGAACAAAGCUGCAGCAGAGGGGUAAGACUGAAAUCCUAAGGCUAGGAAUGGGAAAAUGGCUCAGGUUUUUGACUGCCACCGUAUCUAGUACCCAGAAGGGACUCACUCAUGGAGGUUUAUGCUUUGGAUGCCACAAAUAGCACCAUUGGUCUCAAGACUACCCUCAGAAGAAACCUCCAGGCCCAUGCCCUGUGUACAACCAGGAGGAGCACUGGAAGAGAGACUGCCCACAGGGACAUUGGCCUGCCUCUUUCUAUUUCUCUGCUUCCUGAUCUUUUUAAGACCAGGAAUGAGGGGGCCCAGGAAAUGGCCAGGAUCCCCCAAUGAUGAUAGCUGAACUCUGGAUAAUUUUGGAUGCUGCAGGUGUCAGUAUCUCAUGAAGACUGAAGCCAGAAAGGAAUUUACAAUCCUUGAUUUAAAAGUCUCUAAAGUAUAAGAUUCUGAUUCCAUGCCAGUCUCCUGUAAUUUCUUCAAUUCUCCCUGUUAAAAAAAAGCAAAAUGGGAAAUAUCAAGUGAUUCAGGACCUUAGGGCUGUUAAUGAGGCUGUCGUUCAUAUUCACCCAGUAGUGUCUACUAUUCUUACUUAGACUCCAGGGGAUACACAGUGGGUUAUGAACCUUACAUCUUACAAGAUGCCUUCUUUUGCAUACCAUCCCAUAAAGACUCACAAUUUCUUUUUGCUUUUGACUGGCUAUCUUGGGGGUAUCCAACCCUCCACUAGCUGACAUGAGCUAGAGCUUCCAGAACAAAUCCCAUUUUUUGCUCAGGCUUUGGGGAAAGAUUUAAAGCAUCUGAAACUGACUGAUAGCAGUCCAAUACAGUAUGUAGAUAACAUUCUUAUCUGCAGCCCAACUCUGGAGGCUUCUCUGGCCACAGCCGUACCACUCUCAUUUUUCUAGAACAGGGUUCUCAACUAUCCAUAUCCAAGGCACAUAUUGCCCAUCAAUCUGUUAAGUAUCUAUAUCAUGAACUGACUCCCACCUCUCGUUCGCUCACUGCAAAGAGAAAACAGGCUAUCUUGUCACUUCCUGAACCAACCAUAAAGAAACAGUUGUGCACAUUUCUAGGUGUGGCUGGAUUUUAUAGGAUCUGGAUAACCAAUUCUAGUCAAGGCCCUGACACACUUUCUCUAGACUGGGGAUCUGACCAGGCCAAGCUUUUGAGACUUUGAAAAUUAAAUUGACCUCUUACCCAAUUUGGAAAAACUUUUAUUCUGAAUGUUAAUAAAUGGUGUGGUCAAGUUUUAGCAGUUUAAACUCAGUCCCCUGGCACCAUAGCCUUAGAAUUGGGGAAAUGACUGAAAGUUAACAUCUAUACUGAUUCCAAAUAUGCUUUUCAUGUUUUACAUGCCCACAAGGCUAUAUGGGAAAUGCUACAAUUACUACAAGAUGUCCAUGAACCUAGAGAGGUUUCUGUUAUAUUUUGUAAAGGACAUCAAAAGGGGAACUCACUUCAGGCCAGAGGAAACAGGCUAGCUGAGUUAGCUGCCUGAUCUGCUGCAGUCUGCCCCUCAUAAUGGCUCCACUACUCCCCCAGCUCCCUUGCUCUUAUAUACCUUCCUAUAGUCCCCAAGAACAGGCACUUGAUAAGAAGAAGGAAUAUACUCUUUCCCUCUCUGGGCAGUUUCAAAAACCCUCAAGGCCAGCUUCUAAUCCCAGAAACAAACUGUUGGAAACUUCUUUUUGGCCUACACCAAGCCACUCAGGAAAGAAUGCUCUCCAGACCCGUAGGAACUUUUUGUUAGGGACAAUGAGCACUGCUCUCCCUUUGAUAUGUGACAUGGAGCCUGUGUGCUAGGUCAGCUGGUAGGGGGGCCCAGGAGAUAAAAAAGAGGUUUGGCCCCUGAGGCAAGAGGUUGUGUGUCUGGCAGGAGUUAAAGGGACUACUAUAGGUUUCUUGAGAUGGCGAGGAAUGUGUCCUCUUGCUAGAUCUUCUUCUGGGACACAGCAUUGACAGCCUCCUGUCUGGGCCUCUACCUACACAGUUCUGAGUGGGCUGGGCAUGGGCAACCCUGCAAGAGAGGCAGUAUAAAUAGACAACCCUGAGCAGAGCUUGCUCUCUUGGGCUCUUGCUUCCUGCUGCCCCCACUGAGAGGAUGAUUGAAUAAAGACAGAAUGGUUGCACCUCCUGGUGGGUCUGUCUCUGUGUGAUCUGGGUUGAAGCCUGAAGGCAAGUGAGCUGACGUAGUCGUGGCCACCUAUGAAUGGACAGAUAGAGUAGCUUUAAGGAGCACUACAACUGGUGACUUAACAGGGACUAUGCGAUUGGACCUCACCGGGUAGCAGGUCUACAGAGUGAGAAGGGAGACAGAGUGAGUGGAACGUUUGGUAUGGGAAAAAACUAUAGUGAGGGUUCCAGAUUAAGAGGUGCUAAGGAAAGAAGUUUAUAGAAUAAUAAAGCAAGCAGGAUUGGAAAUGAAUUUUUUAAAAUGGGAAGUAAUAGGUGGUCGGAUGGCUUCCUAUGAUAAGGAAACUCAGGGAGCCAUCCAGGAAUGACAUCAAGUGAUUGGGGGCACUUUAAGAGGUGCAAGCCACAAUCCAUUAAAAGUAGAUAAUGAAGUGCAAACAGAGAGUCAUAAAACAAAUGAGAGUCAUAAACCGGCACUCACCUGGACUAAGUUCUCCCAUAAAAUAGAGUAGGUGGAAGUUAGCUGUGGGAAAGAAUCAGGAAGUAAACAAAAAGAUGGAGGUGGAUGUGAUGAAAAAGAAGAGAUAGUGAGGAAGAAGUAGGAAGUGGAUAUAAUGGAACAGGAGGAGGCAGGAAUAAGAUGAGGAAUGAGGAAGUAAACAGAGGGAUAUAUGACUUGGAGAAAAAAGAUGGUGAUAAGGCAAGGGAGAAGAAAGGGAAUAGAGGAAAGGUCUCCUCUUGUCUCCAAGGCAUGGCCUUCUUCCCCAUUCCCCACCAUCCCUGAGGAGAUAUGUCUCCCGUCCACUCCCUCUGUCCCCUCUUGUGGAGGCUUUGGAGAUUCCCAGACAAGUUUAGGACAAAUGAUACAGAAAGCUGGAAGGUAUGAAAGAAAUGAGGAUCAAAGGCAAUAUGAUGCAGCACUAUAUGCAGCUGUGUCUCAGUGUGCCCAAUGACCAUUUAGCAAAAUUCAAGCUUCUGGAAAACAGAGGUCCCCAAUGACAAAGAUUAAACAGGGCCCAGAUGAGCCUUUCCCUGAUUUUGUGGCCCGCCUAUAGGCAGCUAUUGAGAGGUCAGUGGGCAGAGGAGAAGCCUGCAGCCUCCUUAUACAGAAAUUGGCAGGGGAGAAUGCUAAUACUAACUGCCAGAAGGCCAUGCUUACUUCAGAUGGGGAGCCUGGCCUGGAAGAGAUAGUAAAGAGAUACAUAUCGGCUCCAGUGCCUUUCAAAUGGAUGCCCUCACAGCUGCUAUAUCUAAAAGGGUUGCAGGAGAAGACCUGCCCUGGCAGUUUGCAAAACAAACAGGAGAUGUUCCGACCCCUGGUGGUCACAGGUCUUGGGUUCAAUCAAUGGGGCAGGGACAUAUUGGAGGCUUGUGGGGCUUCAGUUUAUAUACCACAGGAUUUUUAAUUGGGGUCUUUGGGUGUUCAGCACCACCUUUCAUAUCACGCCCACACCAUUAACAUGGAAACCUAACACCCCAAUUUGGGUACCUCAAUGGCCCCUCCCAGUGGAAAAAGCCCAAGUCUUAUGUGAAAUUUUGCAACAACAGUUGAAGGCCGGACAUAUAGAACCAACAUCCAGUCCAUGGAGUAGCCUUUUCUUUGUUAUGAAGAAAAAAAAAUUCAGAAUGCUAGUGGACCCUAGGGCUAUUAAUGCUACUAUGGUAGCCCUACAGCCUGACAUGCCAUCUCUUCAUCUAGUACCCACCGGCUGGCCAGUUACAGGAAUAGGCAUACAAGAUUGUUUCUUCUCCAUCCCUCUGGGCCCAGAAGAUAAAAAAAGAUUUGCUUUUACCAUUCCCUCCAUAAACAAUGCAGGGCCUGAUCUGCAUUACCAAUGGAAAGUUCUCACCUAAGAGAUGUGUUGUAGCCCUACCUUGUGUCAGACAUAUGUAGAGCAAGUGCUAGAAGCAAUUAGGAAGGUGUGGAUUCAUGCCAGGAUACUGCAUUACAUGGAUGAUAUACUGUUAUCAAGGAGCAAUAGGAAAGAGAUCUCUGCCCUCCUUAAGGAGACCAUGAGCAUUCCCGCUCAACUAGUGGUAGCUCCAGAAGAGACCCAACAUAACUAUCCCACCAUUUACCUGGGGCUCCUCAUGGGGACUUCUGCAGUUACUAAUCAGAUACCUACCUUACAAUUAGACAAGGUGAAUACUCUGAACCUAUUUCAGAAACUAGUUGGACAAAUUCAGUGGCUAAGGACUUGAGCCCCUAUUCCUGCUUCUCUAAUGCAGCCUUUAUAUAACAUUUUGAAAAAAAAGAGUCUGAUCUAAACUCCCCUCGUAAAUGAACCUCCUUCAUGAAGGACACAAUUUAUAAGAUCAUUGUUCUUGCUUCUAAAUCUGGAAUGGGGAGAUGUCUGGACCCCAUGUGUCCCAUAAAGGUCUCUUUAAUAGACAAAGUCCUUUCACAGUAUUACAUGAAGGUAAAAAAAAAUUGGAAUAUGUGUACAUGAAACGGCCACAGAAAGUAUUACCAAACCAUAUUGAAAUGCUGGGAGAACUUGUCCUUGAGGCAGUAAAAGGAGCUUCUCACCUAACAGGGAAAAAGACCCUUACUGUAUUUACCCUUUGAACCAAGAGCUAGAGAAGUCAUGAUGCAAACAUGUUGGCCAUCAGUGCAUUGUGAUCAAUGGGCUACACUAAGUUCCCAUUCUACAUGCUUAUCCUUCCUUUGCUAUCCCAUAUUCUGAUACAUCCCCCUUGUAAGACGAUUGUUGUAAGAACCACAAGGUUUUUAUGAGCGCUCAAAAGAGAUUCUGGUGUUGGAGACUCCUUAUGAUUCCACCCAGAAAAAUGAGCUUUUUGUUAUUCUCCAGACCUGUAAAAGAUAUCCAGAACCCAUUAAUAUAUCAGUAGUUUAUAUGCAGUCUGGGUACUGAGAGGUAUUGAGGAUGCAAUCUCCUACAACCUCAGAACUCUUUAAUUGCUAAUGUUGCUGAACUGCAGCUGACUUUACUAGGAAACAUCCCAUUUACAUCCUGCAUGUAUACUCUCACCAGUGCUGUGCAGGAGGCAUAUUUGCAGGCAAUGAGAUGGUGGACCUUGCUUUACAAAGCUCCCUUCUCACGGUCACCACGCCCCCUGAACGUGUCCAUGAAUUUCUCCACUUACUCGCUAAUUCUCUACAUCACCUUUAUGGCCUCACCCAGGAACAAGACCGACUGAUAAGGAAGCAGUGCUGUUCAGUGUGUUCAGUUUCUCCCUCCUCCACCUAGUAAAGGAGUUAAUCUCCAGGGUUUAUUCCCCAAUGAUUUGUGGCAAAUGGAUGUGACACGUGAGCCGUGUGGCCAUCCAUAUCUGUAUUGACACCUUUUCUAAAUGCCUUUGUACCACAGUGGCCUCCCAUGAGAACACUUCUUCGGGCAUUAAACAUUUGUAUAGUUGCUUCUCCUCUUCACGGACUCAUGGAAUCCAGCUAAGCAAAUGACCACCUUCCUCAUGUUCACCAUUAAACAUGUUACAGGGAUUCCCUAUAAUCCACAGGGUCAGGUCCUACUGGAACAGGCCCAUCUCACUCUGAAGGCCACCCUUAUUACACAGAAAGGGGAAGGAAGUAGAACACCCUGAUGGCCCACACAGGCAAAUGUGGAUAAGGUCUUAUAGACUCACAAUUUUUUGUACCUGGACAGAAAUACUGGCCUCUCUCCAGGAAUACUUUUUGGCCAUAAAGGUGACUUAGAACAGAAAAGUAGGCCCCAUGAGAACAGUGCUUCAAGCACUAGAGAACAUUCAAAAUGUCCUUUGGAAGGACAUGGAAGGACAUGGAAGGACACUGGCAAAGUCCAUCCUUAGUACUUUGGACAGGGCCGGGAUAUUUAUGUCUUUGCAGAUCCUGAUGGGGAAAGCUGCUGGAUUCCAGAAAGAAGAAGGAAAGUUCCCCCUAUUAAAACAGGGGCUGAAGAAGAAAAGGAGAUGACCCAAGAAAUGCCUGAAAUAGAAUCACAGCGAAGAGAUAACUACCCUUGCCAGACCAACUUAGUGACUGGAUCCAGCACACUUCCUUUCCCAUCCCCUCCUAUUGUAUACCAUGGGCUCUAUGUAGCCAUUUUUGUAUUGUUGCUUCUUUUGCUUUUGCCUCCUUUGCUAGGAUAUUUUAUUCAUAUUCUUAAAAAUUCUAUAGUGGUGCUUAAGGAAGAGCUUCUCAUUCCUCCUCAUGAGAACAUUUGGUCUUAUUAAUAAAGAAAAGGGGGAGAUGUUAGGGGCAAUGAGCACUGCUCUCUCUGAGAUGUACCCUGGAGCAUGUACACCACUUCAGCUGCUAGGGUGGGCCCAAGAGGUGAAAAAGGAGCUUGGCCCCUGAGGCAGGAGGUUGUGGCUGGCAGGAGUUAAAGGGACUGAUAUAGGUUUCUUGAGAUGGCAAGGGGCAUGUCCUCUUGCUAGAUCUCCUCCUGGGAAGCAGCACUGACUCCAGGAGCCUCCUGUCUGGGGCUCUGCCUACACAGUUCUGAGUGGGCUGGGCAUGGGCAACCCUGGAAGAGAGGCAGUAUAAACAGCCCUGAGCAGAGCUUGCUUCCUGCUGCCCCCACUGAGGAUGACUGAAUAAAGACAAUGUUUGCACUUCC